CAGCACCUCAAGUGGUCAGGAUGAUUAUUGGGCCUAAAGCAUCCGUAGCCGGCUCUGUAAGUUUUCGGUUAAAUCUGUACGCUCAACGUACAGGCUGCCGGGAAUACUGCAGAGCUAGGGAGUGGGAGAGGUAGACGGUACUCGGUAGGAAGGGGUAAAAUCCUUUGAUCUAUUGAUGACCACCUGUGGCGAAGGCGGUCUACCAGAACACGUCCGACGGUGGGGGAUGAAAGCUGGGGGAGCAAACCGGAUUAGAUACCCGAGUAGUCC
Molecule: ribosomal RNA, 270 nt
Filed under: uncultured archaeon
Lineage: Archaea
Description: partial 16S ribosomal RNA
Rfam family: Archaeal small subunit ribosomal RNA
Source: RNAcentral